RNAcentral lists this ribosomal RNA (253 nucleotides) under uncultured bacterium. RNAcentral's name for it is "partial 16S ribosomal RNA". It matches the Rfam family "Bacterial small subunit ribosomal RNA", at positions 524 to 776 of the family's 1533-position model. The record is from RNAcentral.
UACAGAGGGGGCAAGCGUUGUUCGGAAUUACUGGGCGUAAAGGGCGCGUAGGCGGCCUGCUAAGUCGAACGUGAAAUCCCCGGGCUCAACCCUGGGAUGCCGGUCGAUACUGCCGGACUAGAGUUCGGAAGAGGCGAGUGGAAUUCCCGGUGUAGCGGUGAAAUGCGCAGAUAUCGGGAGGAACACCUAUGGCGAAGGCAGCUCGCUGGGACGUUACUGACGCUGAGACGCGAAAGCGUGGGGAGCAAACAGG